UGUAACACUGAUCGCAGUGACAGGUUGUCACUGCGAUCAGAGCGCUCUGAGAUUGCAGUGACAGCCUGUCACUGCGAUCAGACAG
RNAcentral lists this microRNA precursor (85 nucleotides) under Pelobates cultripes (western spadefoot toad). The record is from RNAcentral. Lineage: Eukaryota; Metazoa; Chordata; Amphibia; Anura; Pelobatidae.